Molecule: ribosomal RNA, 113 nt
Filed under: Electrophorus electricus (electric eel)
Lineage: Eukaryota; Metazoa; Chordata; Actinopteri; Gymnotiformes; Gymnotidae
Source: RNAcentral
GCUUAUUCCAUAAAAUACACGCCCCAUCUCGUCUGAUCUAGGAAACUAAGCAGGGUUGGGCCUUGUUAGUACUUGGAUGGGAGACCGCCUGGGAAUACCAGUUGCUGUAAGCU